Molecule: small RNA, 90 nt
Filed under: Salix viminalis (osier)
Lineage: Eukaryota; Viridiplantae; Streptophyta; Magnoliopsida; Malpighiales; Salicaceae
Source: RNAcentral
AGGGUUUUUUUUUGCUGAAAUUUACUUGUAGGCUACUACUGUCUUCAAGUGAAUCCAGGCCAUGAAAUGAAAUGAUUCCAAAAUUACCUU